AUGGGGAUCACUCUUUCUCUCAUGUGCGGCCGACGUAUGUACUACGUACUAGUAAGAUACUCCUUCUGUUAUGGAGAGCUUGGUGGUCUCUCUGAACUGAAGAAGCUAUCCUGGACAGACUGCUCUAGUGUACAAGCUAUCCUGGACAACAAAUCGAGAAACCAAUCUUUGCUCUUUCCCCUGGUCACGGACACAUGGUAUCUCAUGGAACAGUUCAAGGAGAUUUCCAUACAAGCCGUGAAGAGAACCAGGAACAAGAUGGCGCAUGAACUAUCACCUCUAGCUAGAAGGAACGGUGACCACAUUACGUUAGGAGAUGUUCCCUCUCCCUUAAGGAUUAUUUUACUUAAGGAGGAUUGUAAAAUCUCUCUGGGAUUAUGUAAUACUAAUGGCUUGCUGAGCCUUUUCUCAAAAAAAGAAAGAAAGAAGAAAGACUGA
Molecule: ribosomal RNA, 438 nt
Filed under: Triticum aestivum (bread wheat)
Lineage: Eukaryota; Viridiplantae; Streptophyta; Magnoliopsida; Poales; Poaceae
Description: partial small subunit ribosomal RNA
Source: RNAcentral